Molecule: ribosomal RNA, 363 nt
Filed under: Escherichia coli
Lineage: Bacteria; Pseudomonadati; Pseudomonadota; Gammaproteobacteria; Enterobacterales; Enterobacteriaceae
Description: bacterial SSU rRNA
Rfam family: Bacterial small subunit ribosomal RNA
Source: RNAcentral
GAACUUUCCAGAGAUGGAUUGGUGCCUUCGGGAACUGUGAGACAGGUGCUGCAUGGCUGUCGUCAGCUCGUGUUGUGAAAUGUUGGGUUAAGUCCCGCAACGAGCGCAACCCUUAUCCUUUGUUGCCAGCGGUCCGGCCGGGAACUCAAAGGAGACUGCCAGUGAUAAACUGGAGGAAGGUGGGGAUGACGUCAAGUCAUCAUGGCCCUUACGACCAGGGCUACACACGUGCUACAAUGGCGCAUACAAAGAGAAGCGACCUCGCGAGAGCAAGCGGACCUCAUAAAGUGCGUCGUAGUCCGGAUUGGAGUCUGCAACUCGACUCCAUGAAGUCGGAAUCGCUAGUAAUCGUGGAUCAGAAUG